RNAcentral lists this ribosomal RNA (775 nucleotides) under uncultured Neocallimastigales. Its description in RNAcentral is "partial large subunit ribosomal RNA". It matches the Rfam family "Eukaryotic large subunit ribosomal RNA", at positions 24 to 649 of the family's 3401-position model. The record is from RNAcentral. Lineage: Eukaryota; Fungi; Neocallimastigomycota; Neocallimastigomycetes; Neocallimastigales.
UACGACUACAUAUCAGGCAUAUCAAUAAGCGGAGGAAAAGAAACUAACAAGGAUUCCCUUAGUAACGGCGAGUGAAGCGGGAAGAGCUCAAAUUUGAAAUCUUCAAGGUUCUACCUUGACGAAUUGUAGUUUAAAGAAGUGUUUUCUGUUAGAUGAGUAGCAAAAGUUCCUUGGAAUGGGACAUCAUAGAGGGUGAGAAUCCCGUAUUUGGUUAUUCAUUCUAGCUUUGUGAUACACUUUCAAAGAGUCGGAUUGUUUGGGAAUGCAGUCCAAAAUGGGUGGUAAAUUUCAUCUAAAGCUAAAUAUUGGCGAGAGACCGAUAGCGAACAAGUACCGUGAGGGAAAGAUGAAAAGAACUUUGAAAAGAGAGUUAAACAGUACGUGAAAUUGUCAAAAGGGAAGCGUUUGACACCAGUGUUGUUUUUCCGAAAAUCAAUUACGAAUGGCUUGAUUUUGUGUUGUAUUGACCUUAUCAGCUUUCUGCACUUUUUUCGAGUCUUUCUUAAUGCACUUUUCGGUUAACAAGUCAACAUCAAUUUCUUUUGUUGUAAAAGAGUAUUCGGAAGGUGGCUUUCUUUUCGGAGAAAGUAGUUUAUAGCCCUAUACUUCUACAAUCGGAGAGAUUGAGGUCUGCAGCGUAGAUCCUUCGGGGUUAGAUACACUUGUGCUAAGUUGUAGCUUUUCAUAGACAACUUGUUGACUAUGUUUAGUCAUGCGGCUUACUCGCUUGUGCUAUUUUACCUACGCUUAGGAUGUUGAGUAGCGACAUACGCAC